This 253-nucleotide ribosomal RNA is filed under the name uncultured bacterium. RNAcentral describes it as "partial 16S ribosomal RNA". It matches the Rfam family "Bacterial small subunit ribosomal RNA", at positions 524 to 776 of the family's 1533-position model. The record is from RNAcentral.
GACAGAGGGUGCAAACGUUGCUCGGAAUUACUGGGCGUAAAGCGCGUGUAGGCGGACCGGAAAGUCGGGCGUGAAAUCCCUGAGCUCAACUCAGGAACUGCACUCGAAACUCUCGGUCUAGAGUGGUGGAGAGGGAAGUGGAAUUCCUGGUGUAGAGGUGAAAUUCGUAGAUAUCAGGAGGAACACCAGUGGCGAAGGCGGCUUCCUGGACAACAACUGACGCUGAGACGCGAAAGCGUGGGGAGCAAACAGG